This 343-nucleotide unclassified non-coding RNA is filed under the name Calochilus robertsonii. Its description in RNAcentral is "partial contains external transcribed spacer and 18S ribosomal RNA". The record is from RNAcentral. Lineage: Eukaryota; Viridiplantae; Streptophyta; Magnoliopsida; Asparagales; Orchidaceae.
GGUUGUGGCAUGACUGUUGACGAACGAAUGAGCGGCACCCUUCGCAUCGCUUAGCGGUGAUGGCGGGGGUGCGCUGCGGCAUUCGUCCUCUAACAUUGUUCGAUGGGCUUCGCCUUUCGGGCCGAUGACAGUGGGCGGUGCUUCUUUGGAAUAAAUGCGGCUGAUUUGAAAGUUGUCUUGGUGCCAAGUGCGCUUUGCUAGUUGCUGGGCAUGUUGCCUCAAUCCUCUGUGCAACCGCGCUCCCUCGUUUGCGUCCAUCUAAGCGGUGGUGCCUGCGGCGGUCGCGUGAAAGUUGUCUCGAGGUUGUGCUACCUGGUUGAUCCUGCCAGUAGUCAUAUGCUUG